CCUACGGGAGGCAGCAGUGAGGAAUAUUGGUCAAUGGGCUUACGCCUGAACCAGCCAAGUCGCGUGAGGGAAGACUGCCCUAUGGGUUGUAAACCUCUUUUGUCGGGGAGCAAAAGCCGGACGUGUCCGGCGGUGAGAGUACCCGAAGAAAAAGCAUCGGCUAACUCCGUGCCAGCAGCCGCGGUAAUACGGGGGAUGCGAGCGUUAUCCGGAUUUAUUGGGUUUAAAGGGUGCGCAGGCGGAGUGUUAAGUCAGCGGUCAAAUCGUGGGGCUCAACCCCAUCCAGCCGUUGAAACUGGGGAUCUAGAGUGCGCAUGCGGUAUGAGGAAUGUGUGGUGUAGCGGUGAAAUGCAUAGAUAUCACGCAGAACCCCGAUUGCGAAGGCAGCAUACGGGUGCACAACUGACGCUCAGGCACGAAAGCGUGGGUAUCGAACAGGAUUAGAUACCCUAGUAGUC
RNAcentral lists this ribosomal RNA (458 nucleotides) under uncultured bacterium. RNAcentral's name for it is "partial 16S ribosomal RNA". It matches the Rfam family "Bacterial small subunit ribosomal RNA", at positions 338 to 795 of the family's 1533-position model. The record is from RNAcentral.